CCUACGGGAGGCAGCAGUGAGGAAUAUUGGUCAAUGGACGCAAGUCUGAACCAGCCAUGUCGCGUGCAGGAAGACGGCUCUAUGGGUUGUAAACUGCUUUUGUACGGGGAUAAACGCAGAUACGCGUGUCUGUCUGUAGGUACCGUACGAAUAAGGAUCGGCUAACUCCGUGCCAGCAGCCGCGGUAAUACGGAGGGUUCAAGCGUUAUCCGGAUUUAUUGGGUUUAAAGGGUGCGUAGGCGGUCUGAUAAGUUAGAGGUGAAAUCCCGAGGCUCAACUUCGGAAUUGCCUCUGAUACUGUUCGGCGAGAGAGUAGGUGCGGUAGGCGGAAUGUAUGGUGUAGCGGUGAAAUGCUUAGAGAUCAGACAGAACACCGAUUGCGAAGGCAGCUUACCAAGGUACUUCUGACGUUGAGGCACGAAAGCGUGGGGAGCAAACAGGAUUAGAUACCCCUGUAGUC
Molecule: ribosomal RNA, 460 nt
Filed under: uncultured bacterium
Lineage: Bacteria
Description: partial 16S ribosomal RNA
Rfam family: Bacterial small subunit ribosomal RNA
Source: RNAcentral